CGCACUGACACGGGGUGCCCCGCACCGCCUUCGGGCGAGGGGCUGAGAUCACACCCGCUGAACCUGAUCUAGUUCGUACUAGCGAAGGGAUGUCACUGCGAUGACGU
This 107-nucleotide non-coding RNA is filed under the name Cellulomonas fimi. Its description in RNAcentral is "TPP sequence". It matches the Rfam family "TPP riboswitch aptamer (THI element)". From Rfam's summary of the family: Vitamin B(1) in its active form thiamin pyrophosphate (TPP) is an essential coenzyme that is synthesised by coupling of pyrimidine and thiazole moieties in bacteria. The previously detected thiamin-regulatory element, thi box was extended, resulting in a new, highly conserved RNA secondary structure, the THI element, which is widely distributed in eubacteria and also occurs in some archaea. Analysis of operon structures identified a large number of new candidate thiamin-regulated genes, mostly transporters, in various prokaryotic organisms. Lineage: Bacteria; Bacillati; Actinomycetota; Actinomycetes; Micrococcales; Cellulomonadaceae. The record is from RNAcentral. RNAcentral also lists the same sequence under 1 other name.